UACAGAGGGUGCGAGCGUUGUCCGGAAUCACUGGGCGUAAAGGGCGCGUAGGUGGCGACCCAAGUCUGUGGUGAAAGCUCGAUGCUUAACAUCGAGUCGGCCACGGAUACUGGGUGGCUCGAGCACUGUAGAGGCAGAUGGAAUUCCGGGUGUAGCGGUGGAAUGCGUAGAGAUCCGGAAGAACACCGGUGGCGAAGGCGGUCUGCUGGGCAGUAGCUGACACUGAGGCGCGACAGCGUGGGGAGCGAACAGG
RNAcentral lists this ribosomal RNA (253 nucleotides) under uncultured bacterium. Its description in RNAcentral is "partial 16S ribosomal RNA". It matches the Rfam family "Bacterial small subunit ribosomal RNA", at positions 524 to 776 of the family's 1533-position model. The record is from RNAcentral.